UCUGCUUUAUCAGCUAGCGGUCCCACUAGAGUGCCCAACUGAAUGAUGGCAACUAAUGGCAAGGGUUGCGCUCGUUGCGGGACUUAACCCAACAUCUCACGACACGAGCUGACGACAGCCAUGCAGCACCUGUCUCCACGUCCCCGAAGGGAACCCCUACUUUCAUAGGGUAGCGUGGGAUGUCAAGCCUAGGUAAGGUUUUUCGCGUUGCAUCGAAUUAAACCAGAUACUCCACCGCUUGUGCGGGCCCCCGUCAAUUUCUUUGAGUUUUAAUCUUGCGACCGUAAUUCCCAGGCGGGAUACUUAAUGCGUUAGCUGCGACGCCAAAGGGGUAAGAACCUCUGACAUCUAGUAUCCAUAGUUUACGGCGUGGACUAC
RNAcentral lists this unclassified non-coding RNA (378 nucleotides) under uncultured delta proteobacterium. RNAcentral describes it as "contains 16S-23S intergenic spacer region". The record is from RNAcentral. Lineage: Bacteria; Deltaproteobacteria.